GCGGGCUUUUCCGCCACGGUAGCACGUGGGCACUGGUCCUGGGAAAGUGUCACCAACGGCCGUAAAUGCAGGCACGUAGCAGUGCUUGUUUUCACGGCAAUAUCACCAGUGGUGUUGUCGUGAAGCGGUCUGAGCAAGGACCGCGCAAUGAAACGGUACAUUUGUAUCCUGAUCGUUGUAUCUGGUGCGUUGUUGUCAUCCGGGAACGGAGGCUGGAGUAUCUCCGGUAACUCUAUUUCGGUGACAAUCAACACAGCAGGCAAGUAAGCCAGGUAACCGCCCCCGUUCCACUCAGAGCGAGGGGCGGUUUUCCUU
RNAcentral lists this small RNA (315 nucleotides) under Cedecea sp. NFIX57. RNAcentral's name for it is "ryfA RNA". It matches the Rfam family "ryfA RNA". From Rfam's summary of the family: This family consists of a number of bacterial RNA genes of 305 bases in length. The ryfA RNA gene is present in E. coli, Shigella flexneri and Salmonella species where it is found between the ydaN and dbpA genes. The function of this RNA is unknown. Lineage: Bacteria; Pseudomonadati; Pseudomonadota; Gammaproteobacteria; Enterobacterales; Enterobacteriaceae. The record is from RNAcentral.